AGUGUGAGAGCAGCAGUCAGUGGGACUCAGUCUGUACUUUAACUCAGUGCUCUUCCUUCUCUCCUGCAGUCAUGAAGCUCCUACCAGCCCUGCUGCUGCUCACAGCAUUCAAUCUCUCAGGUGUUCAGGGUGAGAUUGUCCUGACAGAGUCUGAAGCAGUGGUAAAGAGACCAGGAGAAUCUCACACACUGACCUGUACAGCCUCAGGGUUCACAUUCAGCAGCUUCUGGAUGUACUGGAUCAGACAGGCUCCUGGGAAGGGCCUGGAGUGGUUGGGAAGUCAGUAUAACAGCUCCAAUGUUCGCUAUGCCCAGUCUAUUCAGGGAAGAUUCACCAUCUCCAGAGACAACAGCAAGAACCAGCUGUAUUUACAGAUGAACAGGCUGGCAGCUGAAGACACUGCUGUGUAUUACUGUAGCAUCAACCCUCUUUAA
Molecule: non-coding RNA, 434 nt
Organism: Anguilla anguilla (European eel)
Lineage: Eukaryota; Metazoa; Chordata; Actinopteri; Anguilliformes; Anguillidae
Source: the annotation of a RefSeq genome assembly